UCCUCACCGCCGCUCUCUUCUUUCCUCGCCGCCAGCCUCCACCUCUCCCAUCGGCGCCCAGCAGAUCGACGCCCUCUGUGUUCCCUCUCCCUGGCCACCGUGCCCCGUGCACACCCCCAUGCCUCUGUUCACCUCGGCUGCUCUAGAUGUUGGCACGUACGUCUGCGGCGUCGGUGGAUCUAGCUAUUGCGUCGUGCUCACUCCUCAUGUUCGACGCGGGAGGUGGUGGCAUCAGAUCUUGCCCCGCCUCGCCUGUCGCUACUCACGGCAGGUGGCGCGCUUCAUGGUCAGGAAUCCCCUAUCCUCGCCCCUUCGCCCACACGACACAGGUCAACCUCCCCGCCUCCGCCAUGAUGGCCACCAACAGCGCCGCACCCGUCGCCACGUCGAAGAGGGGCGCCUUCACCAUCUUCCUCUCAGGUGGAUUAUCCAUCUAGGACCUCAGGAAGUCGGGGUAGCCGCCAUACCUGGAGACAGCGGACUGGAGCAAGUUGAAGACGAUCUAGGUUGGCGAGAUGGUCGUCCCAAAGGACCAUGCGGAUAGUAAUUCCAAGCUCGACCCUAGAUGGGUUACACUCGAAGGUUUUCCCCACGAGUUCUUCCUUGACAUAUUCUUCUUCCUGCCACUGCCAGUUCUACCGGUUUAGGGCUUUAAAUCUUACCUAUGGUUAUUUAGGGCAUUUAGAAGACAUAAUUUGUGGCUUGAAGUGAUGGGCGGUUGUGGACAAGUAAGAUUAUACCAUUGCGUGGAUUUCGUAUUUAGCUGAGCAUGUUAACUUUGGAUACAUUUGGAGCUAUAUUUGAGUGUGUAUCCAUGCCUUGAGAGAUUUGGUGAGUAUGAAAGCAUAUGGAUUCUAUCCUGUCAUGAAUUUCUAUAUUAUCUUGUGCAAACUGGCUACACAAGAUCAUAGUUAAACUCAUGCUAUUUAUUUUCA
This is a long non-coding RNA of Triticum aestivum (bread wheat), 935 nucleotides long. RefSeq lists it as uncharacterized. The transcript has 2 exons. NCBI's taxonomy places the organism in Eukaryota, Viridiplantae, Streptophyta, Magnoliopsida, Poales, Poaceae. The record is from RefSeq and is a predicted model, not a curated record.